This 32-nucleotide non-coding RNA is filed under the name Homo sapiens (human). Lineage: Eukaryota; Metazoa; Chordata; Mammalia; Primates; Hominidae. The record is from RNAcentral.
UGGCCAGUCCCAAGCCCGUACGGGCAACAGGG